AGUGAACGCUGGCGGUAGGCCUAACACAUGCAAGUCGAACGGCAGCACAGUAAGAGCUUGCUCUUACGGGUGGCGAGUGGCGGACGGGUGAGGAAUACAUCGGAAUCUACUUUUUCGUGGGGGAUAACGUAGGGAAACUUACGCUAAUACCGCAUACGACCUACGGGUGAAAGCAGGGGAUCUUCGGACCUUGCGCGAUUGAAUGAGCCGAUGUCGGAUUAGCUAGUUGGCGGGGUAAAGGCCCACCAAGGCGACGAUCCGUAGCUGGUCUGAGAGGAUGAUCAGCCACAAUGGAACUGAGACACGGUCCAGACUCCUACGGGAGGCAGAAGUGGGGAAUAUUGGACAAUGGGCGCAAGCCUGAUCCAGCCAUACCGCGUGGGUGAAGAAGGCCUUCGGGUUGUAAAGCCCUUUUGUUGGGAAAGAAAAGCAGCAGGUUAAUACCCCGCUGUUCUGACGGUACCCAAAGAAUAAGCACCGGCUAACUUCGUG
This 492-nucleotide ribosomal RNA is filed under the name uncultured bacterium. RNAcentral describes it as "partial 16S ribosomal RNA". It matches the Rfam family "Bacterial small subunit ribosomal RNA", at positions 29 to 507 of the family's 1533-position model. The record is from RNAcentral.